AUGCCCACAAGAGUCAGACCUGGCUCCCCUACUUAUGCUCCAGGGCCCAGCCCUGCUCUCCUCUUCACCCUCCAGGGCCAGACCCUGCACCCCUCCUUAAAAUCCUGGGCUAGGCCCCCCUACUCUCCUCGCCCUCCAGGGUCAGGACCCACUGCCCUCAGGAAUGGCCAUCACUGGCCUCCAGGGUAUGGGUCAUGUUCCCCUUGCCCUCCAGGGCCUGGCCUCAUUCCCUCCUCACCCUCCAUGGCCCUGCCCUACUCCACUCGCUGCCCCCCAAGGCCUGACCACACUCCCCUCUUUGCCCUUCAGGGCCUGAACCCGCCCCCCUACUGCCUUUCAGGGCCUGGCCUGGCUCCCCUCCUUGCCCUCCAUGGCCUCACCCCUCUCUCCUGCCUAGACCUGCUCACCUCCAUGCCCUUCAUCGCCUGGGCCCCAAUCCCCUCACUGCCUUUCAGGGCCUGGCUCCAUUCCCCUCACCAUCCUCCAGUGCUGGAUACCACUCCCCUCCUAGCCUUCCAGGACCAGGCGCUGCUCCCCACCUCACCCCCCAGGGCCUUGGCUAUGAUCCCCGUUGUUGCCCUCCAGAGCAAGGCCCAGUUCCCCUCCUCACCCUCCAGGGUCUGGGCCCUGCUCCCCUCCUUUCCUCCAGGGCUGGACCCCGCUCCCCUUGUUGCCCUCCAGGGCAGGACCCUGCUUCCCUCUAUGCCUUCCAUGGCCCUGCCCUGCUCCCCUCGCCGAGCUCCAGGGGCUUACCCUGCUCACUUCCUUGCCCACCAGGGCCUGGGCUGUGCUCCCCUUGCUGCCCACCUGGGCCACGCCCCACUCCCCUCCUCACCCUCCAGGGCCAGGCCCUACUCCCCUCCUCACCAUCCUGGGCCAGGCCCCACUCCCCCCUCCUCCUCCAGGGCCUGGGACCUGAUCCCCUCACCGCCCUCUAGGACCAGGCCCUGCCCUCUCCUUGUCCUCCAGGACCGGCCCCCCUCCCCUAAUCACCCUCAUGGACCAGGCCCUGAUCUCCUCCUCACCAUCCUGAGCCAGGCCCCCCUCUUCUCCUUGCCCUCAUGUGCCAGGCCAAAUUCCCCUCCUUGCCCUCCAUGGCCCUACCCUGCUCCCUCACUGCCCUCCAGGGCCUCACCGUGA
RNAcentral lists this long non-coding RNA (1140 nucleotides) under Oryctolagus cuniculus (rabbit). RNAcentral's name for it is "lncRNA (ENSOCUG00000034866.1)". The record is from RNAcentral. Lineage: Eukaryota; Metazoa; Chordata; Mammalia; Lagomorpha; Leporidae.